GCCAGGUGCAGAGCUUAGCUGAUUGGUGAACAGUGAUUGAGCUCUUUGUUCACAGUGGCUAAGUUCUGCACUUGAU
RNAcentral lists this microRNA precursor (76 nucleotides) under Astyanax mexicanus (Mexican tetra). RNAcentral describes it as "mir-27 microRNA precursor family". It matches the Rfam family "mir-27 microRNA precursor family". The record is from Rfam by way of RNAcentral. Lineage: Eukaryota; Metazoa; Chordata; Actinopteri; Characiformes; Acestrorhamphidae. RNAcentral also lists the same sequence under 5 other names.